UACGUAGGGGGCAAGCGUUGUCCGGAUUUACUGGGCGUAAAGAGCGUGUAGGCGGCCACGCAGGUCCGUUGUGAAAACUGGAGGCUCAACUUCCAGCCGUCGACGGAAACCGUGUGGCUAGAGUCCGGAAGAGGAGAGUGGAAUUCCUGGUGUAGCGGUGAAAUGCGCAGAUAUCAGGAAGAACACCAAUGGCGAAGGCAGCUCUCUGGGACGGUACUGACGCUGAGACGCGAAAGCGUGGGGAGCAAACAGG
RNAcentral lists this ribosomal RNA (253 nucleotides) under uncultured bacterium. Its description in RNAcentral is "partial 16S ribosomal RNA". It matches the Rfam family "Bacterial small subunit ribosomal RNA", at positions 524 to 776 of the family's 1533-position model. The record is from RNAcentral.